This 782-nucleotide ribosomal RNA is filed under the name uncultured Acidobacterium sp. Its description in RNAcentral is "bacterial SSU rRNA". It matches the Rfam family "Bacterial small subunit ribosomal RNA", at positions 11 to 770 of the family's 1533-position model. The record is from RNAcentral. Lineage: Bacteria; Pseudomonadati; Acidobacteriota; Terriglobia; Terriglobales; Acidobacteriaceae.
GUUUGAUCCUGGGGCUCAGAAUGAACGCUGGCGGCGUGCCUAACACUUGCAAGUCGAGCGAGAAAGUGGCUUCGGCCAUGAGUAAAGCGGCGAACGGGUGAGUAACACGUGGAUAACCUACCUUAGAGUGGGGGAUAACUCGGGGAAACUCGGGCUAAUACCGCAUACGUUCAUUUGGCCUCGGCCAGGUGAAGAACGGUGGCCUCUGCUUGCAAGCUACUGCUCUUUGAGGGGUCCGCGUCUGAUUAGCUAGUUGGUGGGGUAAUGGCCUACCAAGGCUACAAUCAGUAGCCGGCCUGAGAGGGUGAUCGGCCACACUGGAACUGAGACACGGUCCAGACUCCUACGGGAGGCUGCAGUGGGGGAUAUUGCGCAAUGGGCGAAAGCCUGACGCAGCAACGCCGCGUGGAGGAUGAAGGCUUUCGGGUCGUAAACUCCUGUCAGGUGGGACGAAAGGGUGUCGGUUAUAACCCGAUGUCUUUGACGGUACCACCAGAGGAAGCCCCGGCUAACUCCGUGCCAGCAGCCGCGGUAAUACGGAGGGGGCAAGCGUUAUUCGGAAUUAUUGGGCGUAAAGGGCGCGUAGGCGGCUUGGUAAGUCAGCGGUGAAAUCCCUCGGCUCAACCGAGGAAUUGCCUCUGAAACUGCCUCGCUAGAGGCCGGGAGANGGUAGUGGAAUUCCCAGUGUAGCGGUGAAAUGCGUAGAUAUUGGGAGGAACACCAGUGGCGAAGGCGGCUACCUGGACCGGUUCUGACGCUGAGGUGCGAAAGCGUGGGGAGCA